RNAcentral lists this non-coding RNA (22 nucleotides) under Mus musculus (house mouse). Lineage: Eukaryota; Metazoa; Chordata; Mammalia; Rodentia; Muridae. The record is from RNAcentral.
UAGCCCCGUGUUUCUGAUAGCA